AUUGAACGCUGGCGGCAGGCCUAACACAUGCAAGUCGAGCGGAUGAAGGGAGCUUGCUCCUGGAUUCAGCGGCGGACGGGUGAGUAAUGCCUAGGAAUCUGCCUGGUAGUGGGGGAUAACGUCCGGAAACGGGCGCUAAUACCGCAUACGUCCUGAGGUAGAAAGUGGGGGAUCUUCGGACCUCACGCUAUCAUAUUAGCCUAGGUCGGAUUAGCUAGUUGGUGGGGUAAAGGCCUACCAAGGCGACGAUCCGUAACUGGUCUGAGAGGAUGAUCAGUCACACGGGAACUGAGACACGGUCCAGACUCCUGCGGGAGGAAGCAGUGGGGAAUAUUGGACAAUGGGCGAAAGCCUGAUCCAGCCAUGCCGCGUGUGUGAAGAAGGUCUUCGGAUUGGAAAGCGAUUUAAGUUGGGGGGAAGGACAGUAAGUUAAUACCUUGCUGUAUUGACGUUACCAACAGAAUAAGCUCCGGCUAACUUCGUG
This 484-nucleotide ribosomal RNA is filed under the name uncultured bacterium. RNAcentral describes it as "partial 16S ribosomal RNA". It matches the Rfam family "Bacterial small subunit ribosomal RNA", at positions 30 to 507 of the family's 1533-position model. The record is from RNAcentral.